AUUGAACGCUGGCGGCAGGCCUAACACAUGCAAGUCGAGCGGAUGAAGGGAGCUUGCUCCUGGAUUCAGCGGCGGAUGGGUGAGUAAUGCCUAGGAAUCUGCCUGGUAGUGGGGGAUAACGUCCGGAAACGGGCGCUAAUACCGCAUACGUCCUGAGGGAGAAAGUGGGGGAUCUUCGGACCUCACGCUAUCAGAUGAGCCUAGGUCGGAUUAGCUAGUUGGUGGGGUAAAGGCCUACCAAGGCGACGAUCCGUAACUGGUCUGAGAGGAUGAUCAGUCACACUGGAACUGGGACACGGUCCAGACUCCUACGGGAGGCAGCAGUGGGGAAUAUUGGCCAAUGGGCGAAAGCCUGAUCCAGCCAUGCCGCGUGUGUGAAGAAGGUCUUCGGAUUGUAAAGCACUUUAAGUUGGGAGGAAGGGCAGUAAGUUAAUACCUUGCUGUUUUGACGUUACCAACAGAAUAAGCACCGGCUAACUUCGUG
RNAcentral lists this ribosomal RNA (484 nucleotides) under uncultured bacterium. Its description in RNAcentral is "partial 16S ribosomal RNA". It matches the Rfam family "Bacterial small subunit ribosomal RNA", at positions 30 to 507 of the family's 1533-position model. The record is from RNAcentral.